GGGCGGUUAGCUCAGUUGGUUAGAGCGCCACAUUGACAUUGUGGAGGUCAUAGGUUCGAUUCCUGUACCGCCCACCA
RNAcentral lists this transfer RNA (77 nucleotides) under Patescibacteria group bacterium. RNAcentral describes it as "tRNA-Val". It matches the Rfam family "tRNA". From Rfam's summary of the family: Transfer RNA (tRNA) molecules are approximately 80 nucleotides in length. The record is from RNAcentral. RNAcentral also lists the same sequence under 1 other name.